RNAcentral lists this long non-coding RNA (1103 nucleotides) under Anser brachyrhynchus (Pink-footed goose). RNAcentral describes it as "lncRNA (ENSABRG00000007836.1)". The record is from RNAcentral. Lineage: Eukaryota; Metazoa; Chordata; Aves; Anseriformes; Anatidae.
CAACGCUUGGAAGCCCAGCAGCAGGUGGAAGCAGGGCUGGGAUAACCUAGGGCAGCAGAGCCAUGGGGCGACCGCUGCGGUCCCCGACCCUGGGGAGCACCGAGGGAGCAACGGCUUCCUGCUCGCUCAGACAAUUUCCUGGUUUUACAACCCAACGGAGAGCGCAUGAUAAAUUACAUAAAGUGGGGAAGUUUGAGACUGCCUGAAUUUUGCAAUCGCGCCAAGUUUGCCGUGGCUGGCACGACUGCAAAAUUAAGGUGGUCCCAAACCUGCUCUAAAGCAUCCCCGCGUGACAAUUGGGAUGCGCAGGAAGUAAUCAGAGCAUGCUUUGCCUGGGAAGGAAGCAGAGGCAGCGAAGCCCCGGCUCUCCAGGGAUUUUUGCUCCUACAGAAAUGGAGAAACGCGACGAUUUCUCUGGCAGAAGCUUCACACGGGCAUCCUGGGGACGCUCGGUUGGGCCAUUGCGUUGGUGGGGAGAAAAAGAGGAAUGGCACAUCUGCUAGGUGACCGACACGUGUCCCCGGUGCCCUGUAGGCUCAGUAGGAGCAAAUGACGGAGGCGUCCCCUGGACCUUUUGUGCCUCGCGGCUCCGAGGAGGAGGAGGAAACUCGCCUGCGAGCAGCAGGUCUCCGGCUGGAACCCCCCCUCCGGCCGGGGAACCUGUGCUGGGGACUUUUAAUUUUACGUGGCUCUGCUUAAGCCCGAAAACAUUAGCUUAACAUUAUCACGGGGUAAGUCAACAAAUAUGGAAAAAUCUACCAAGGUUACAUUUUGCCCACUUUUCUUGCACCUUUGGAGAUGAAACUGGAGCCAGGCUGCUAAGUUACAGUGAUUUAUUGGUGGGCUGAGGAGCUGGGUUUUAAAUACUGCAUCUUUGGGAUGCUGGCAACCUCGCUUCCUAUAAAUCUUAACUAGUAUUUCUGAGCCCUUUUAUGCCAGCUGCUUUCAUGUAUUCAGAACCUUUUCCGUGCAGUAGCCUAUGAAAAUAUUGAAACGAUGCCCAGAGCAACACCAGGAUAUGAAGGGGAAAACUUUAAGAUGUUUUGUAACUAUUUUUUAACAGAACCUGCCAAAUCUUAAUUUUUCCAGUUUACAAGUAAGAG